CCGGUAGCACUUGCAACUGAACUCCUAUUUAUCUUCUAUGCUCGCUUUCCAAACCUACACAUGCAUUGCAGCUCAGCUCUGACUGAGACCCAUGUUUUGGCUGAGAAGGUGGUUCAGUCUCCAUGGCCAUUCAGUCCUUGGUAUCU
RNAcentral lists this small RNA (146 nucleotides) under Chrysemys picta bellii (western painted turtle). RNAcentral's name for it is "TUC338 (ENSCPBG00000019215.1)". The record is from RNAcentral. Lineage: Eukaryota; Metazoa; Chordata; Testudines; Emydidae.